RNAcentral lists this ribosomal RNA (718 nucleotides) under uncultured bacterium. Its description in RNAcentral is "bacterial SSU rRNA". It matches the Rfam family "Bacterial small subunit ribosomal RNA", at positions 28 to 656 of the family's 1533-position model. The record is from RNAcentral.
GACGAACGCUGGCGGCGUGCUUGAUACAUGCAAGUCGAACGGACUGGCAGCUCGUCACUGGUCGCUCGUCGCUCGUGGAAACGGAGUACGAACAAACGUAAGACCAGCCCACGAGAAAAUUGGAGUCGAUGUUUUCGGUCUCCGAGCGACGAGAAACGAGUGACGAGCUGCGAGUUAGUGGCGGACGGGUGAGUAACGCGUGGGUAAUCUGCCCUCAGGUCCGGGACAACGGUGCGAAAGCGCCGCUAAGACCGGAUGAACUUGCGGGGUGGCAUCAUCUUGCAAGCAAAGGAGACGCCUGAGGAUGAGCCCGCGUCCCAUUAGCUAGUUGGCGGGGUAACGGCCCACCAAGGCGACGAUGGGUAGCCGGACUGAGAGGUUGGCCGGCCACACUGGGACUGAGACACGGCCCAGACUCCUACGGGAGGCAGCAGUAGGGAAUUUUCGGCAAUGGGGGGAACCCUGACCGAGCGACGCCGCGUGAGGGACGAAGGCCUUCGGGUUGUAAACCUCUGUCUAGGGGGACGAUAAUGACGGUACCCCUGGAGGAAGCCACGGCUAACUACGUGCCAGCAGCCGCGGUAAGACGUAGGUGGCGAGCGUUGUCCGGAAUUACUGGGCGUAAAGGGCGUGUAGGCGGCCUUUCAAGUCAGGCGUGAAAUUCCUGGGCUCAACCCAGGGACUGCGUUUGAGACUGAGGGGCUUGAGGACAGGAGAG